RNAcentral lists this ribosomal RNA (452 nucleotides) under uncultured bacterium. Its description in RNAcentral is "bacterial SSU rRNA". It matches the Rfam family "Bacterial small subunit ribosomal RNA", at positions 917 to 1382 of the family's 1533-position model. The record is from RNAcentral.
GACCCCGCACAAGCAGCGGAGCGUGUGGUUUAAUUCGAUGGCACACGAAGAACCUUACCAGGGUUUGACAUGCAAGUGGUAGGAAUCCGAAAGGUGACCGACCCUUCGGGGAGCUUGCACAGGUGCUGCAUGGCUGUCGUCAGCUCGUGUCGUGAGAUGUUCGGUUAAGUCCGCUAACGAGCGCAACCCUCGUCGUGUGUUAUACGUGUCACACGAUACUGCCGGUAUCAAGCCGGAGGAAGGUGGGGAUGAUGUCAAGUCAGCAUGGCCUUUAUAUCCUGGGCUACACACACGCUACAAUGGCAGAUACAAUAGGUCGCGAAACCGCGAGGUGGAGCCAAUCCUCAAAGUCUGUCUCAGUUCAGAUUGUAGGCUGCAACUCGCCUGCAUGAAGUCGGAGUUGCUAGUAAACGCAGGUCAGCUAUACUGCGUUGAAUACGUUCCCGGGGUUU